GACGAACGCUAGCGGCGUGCCUAAGGUAUGCAAGUCGAGCGAGCAGGGGCAACCCUGCGAGCGGCAAACGGUUGAGUAACACGUAGACAACCUGCCUCCGAGUGGGGGAUACCCCGGGGA
This 120-nucleotide ribosomal RNA is filed under the name uncultured bacterium. Its description in RNAcentral is "partial 16S ribosomal RNA". It matches the Rfam family "Bacterial small subunit ribosomal RNA", at positions 28 to 154 of the family's 1533-position model. The record is from RNAcentral.